Molecule: long non-coding RNA, 2316 nt
Filed under: Anser brachyrhynchus (Pink-footed goose)
Lineage: Eukaryota; Metazoa; Chordata; Aves; Anseriformes; Anatidae
Description: lncRNA (ENSABRG00000011061.1)
Source: RNAcentral
UGCGGGGCCAAGCAUCUGAAACCCUGCUAACACAGCCAGGCCUGCUGCGGGAGGAAUCACGGCCCCCUGGAGAUUCACUUUUAAUCCUCCCCACACCUUUCAUACCUGGGAUAUUUGCUACAAAUUCAAAAGAUGUGGCUUUUUUUCCCCUUUUUGAAAAGAUACAGUUAUGCAUUUUGUCUUUUUUUUUAAUUUAUUAUUAUUUUUUUUCAUAAGCAGCGCAGCUCAGCCAGUGUUGGAGGACUGGCUGUAGAUAACCUGUGUGAUGUUAUUUGUGGUUCUUUUUGAGGAAGGACUGUUUCGUCUUCAUCAGCCCAUGAGCCUUAUUUUAGACAAUGAAAAGCCCCAUUUUAAAGUGUAAAUGGGAUUUUUGAAGGUAGUUACUUUUGUCCAUGAACAUGUCAGGAAUGUAAAGCAAAUCCUUCUGAGGUGUCAGAGAAAUGUUAUAAUUUCCAGGUAAACUGAGCAUCUCAGUAAAGGCACUUCUGAUCACACUCAGCUCUCCAUUGUAUGCCAGACAAAAGAACAACAGAAUGGUUUGGGUUGGAAGGGACCUUAAAGAUCAUCUCGUGCAACCCUCCUGCCAUUGGCAGGGACAUCUCCCACUAGGCCAGGUUGCUCAAAUAAGCGUGAGAUGCUUGGUACUUUAAAGUCUUACCCGGGAUUUGAGAGAACUUACUCUUAUCCCUUCAUACAGAACAGGAGACCUUCUGGAUGGUGUUUUUCAAGACCCCCAAAGGAAGCGGUAGGAGGAGAAGCUUCUCCAUUGCAUCCAGAGGGCACCGUGUGUCCUGGCACCUGUGUUCCAAGGCAUCCCUACAUUACAAAUGGCUCAGCCAGCCUGCAACCAGCCACGUCUCACCAGCUCCUGGCAAUCUCACCUACAGAUGGAAAGCUGGCCUUCAACAGUACUUGAUUUCUGCUUGCUGUCUGCUGCUUCCUGUAAAGCUAGAUACACACUGAGGUAAGACUUGAAACCACAGAGUCUGUGGUUUACAUUGUGUUGACUUUUCCCAUCAGAAAAAUCUGUACUGUUAGAUAGCUUAUUGGUUUUGAAUUACAAAAUACACCAUUUCAGUAGUUAAUUAUGCUUCCAUGUUUUUUCCCCCCUGUAAGUGUAUUUCCUUUUUCUAAGCCUUACCAAUUCAAUUUCUCAUUUAUGUGGAUUUAACUCUGUUUAAAGGGAAGGAUGCAGUGUUUUAAAUAAUACACUCUUAGAGAGAAGAUGAACUGGAGUGCUGUGAUAUACUGGCAAGCUGAUUCACUGCCCGAGCUAUUCUCAGCACCAGCAUGGUCAGAGGCAUGGAGAGCAGAGGGGGGAGGUGAGGCAGAAGACAACUAUUACAAAGUAAUUUGGCCUGUGGAAAGUGAAAUGGCAGCAACUGUUAUCUGAUUGACUGCUGUGUGAAAAAGAGUUCAAGUCAGGCGACCGUGCUGCACAGAGCCUUUGCUGUCCAGCUCACAUCCACAAGCUCCAGGAACUCUGACCCUGAGCGUAGGCUGUGUGUUCCCAUAACGUCAGACGUCUAGUUCUGGGCUUGGGUUUUGAGGCUUGAAUGACUGUAUAAAGCUGCACACUGACUCUAUUUAUGCAACAUCUUAGCCAGGUCCCAGGCACUGGAGUUGUAAAUUACGUAUCACAUCAAGGCACGAGGGAAUAUUAAAGAAAGCAGGAUGGGUCUUGAGAAGUUUCCAUAUUCAUUUGUGUACUUCAGUCAAAUAUCUUAUGAUCUGUAACAUCACACUGGUAUAAAAACACUUCAGACUUCACAUCAUGCAUGGUUUGAAGUUAAUGCCUCUAAAAUGAAUGCUUUUUUUCUUGCAAAACUUAACCAUCCCCAUAGAGCAUAGUCUGAAUGGAGAAAGACAUAUUAAUCUACUUAUCAUUUACAUAAAUUUUGUACAUGCAAAAUUGGGACUCUGUGGAUUUGUUUCCGUACAUUUUUGUAAGUAAUUGAAUCCAUUAGCCUUCGCUAUGGAAUCUCACUAAUCUGUCCAUUGAUCCCUAUUAAGUAUUGAUGGUCACUUUGUGAGUAAGAAGUGUGAGAACAGUCUCUUGCCAUUCUUGUGUAAUUUUCACUCGAAGAAUCAUAAAAACUUAGUGGCAAACCAAAUCUCUAAAACACACACUAACACCACAAGACUAAGAUAUAAAAGCAAUUUAUUCAAAAAAAUGUGGUGGUGUCAAAUCACAUACACAAGCCAAUAUUGAGCUACAAACACAGACCAAACAGUUCUAUAAACAGAAAUUGGAGUGUUCAUAUACCAUAGUACCUGAAAAAGACUGUUAAUAAAAAGGAGUCCAUAAGUAUUUCA